GGAGGUGGAGGGAGUGGAGAGAAUGGGCUGUCAGGCAUGACUUGUCCUCUCAAAGUAAUAGGGAGAAAUAACCAGGUGCAUCAGAGAGAGGGUCAAGAUUUUGGUAGCACCAAUCAAUCCUUUAGGGCCCCCUGGCUUGAGCUCCACUUGGAAAGUGACUCUCAGCAAAGCAUGUCAUAGCUAGGCUGGGCGUCAGGAAAGUUGUUGUCACCGCCCUUGCUUUACGGCCUCACAUUCCCUGAUGCAGUCAGAAAGUUGGAACAGAAGGGGCACCCGCCCUGAGAUACCCACCCACAGCACAGGCAGCAAUUUCUGGCAUGCUACAGCAAGAAGUUCCAGAGAUCUACUAACACCUGAAUUGCGAUUUCAACUCUAGGCAUCAUGAAAGUGGUAUUUUUUCCCAUUGUGUUCCAGAUUUGAACUUGUUCCUGCUGAUCUGAAAGACCGAAGUUAAGUCAUCUGUACUCCUUAAUGAGGUUGGCAGCCCCCGGAUCAGUAGAAUACUCCAGGUUCUCACACACCAACACAGGAGUGAUACUAUGUUUAAAACAUUUCCUUCAUACAAGUCAUCCUUGAAAUUACCUGGAGCAUCCUGGUAAUGGUGAUCCUGGUGACCUGGCUCUGGGCAGCGCGAUCUAGUAGUUGGCAAUCCUGCCCAUGGCAGGGGGGGUUGAAACUAGGUGAUCUUUGAGGUCCUUUUCAACCCAGGCCAUUCUAUGAUUUUAUGAUUCUAUGAUCCCGUGAAAUACCUCUUGAGCUACAGAACAUCAUAUCAUCAUUGGUGUUCAUCUGGGUUUAUGAAUGCCAUUCUUUGGCUUCUUUCAGACUCUCCAAGUUCCUGUCUCUGGAUGCUCUUGCUUAUCCUCACUUUCCUGCUGAAUAUUCAGCCUCUUCUUUCUGGGGAUGUUUGGGCAGAUAUGUCUCCAGCUAGGACUCACAGCUUGCUCACUAAAGAGCCUUCCUUUCUUGCCCUCUUCCUCAUGUCUGUGAGCCAGCAUUUUUUAGUGUGAAAGAUAAACAAUAAUCUUGUACUUUCACAUUUUGGCAUGGGUCCUUGGGAUUGGUGGUUGCAUGAUACUUGCUUAUAUUACAGGAAUGUUUAAUGCCUGUUUCAGUAUAUUUAUCAUAUACAUUGCAAAGAUUUAAAGUGUAAAAAAAAUAAGAAGAGAGUUUUCCAGCUAAACUACAAACCUCUCUUCUUGCAGAUGGCUAAAAUUGACUGAGUUAUAUUAGGAAUAACCUGAAUUAUUCACAAGUCUAAUUUUAUGAUUCCUAUUAAUUUUGACACAGAAUAAAAAUGGAAAUAUUUUCUCAGCUUUGAAUGAUUUUCCAUAACUACACGUACUGCCUCUUUGGUGUCUAUUAAUAGCUUGAAGGACAUCAUUUUAAUGAGAAUGCUAACAGUACCUUUCAGUUAGAAAUGUCAUUUAAGCAAUCUCUUAAGAGCAAUUAAAAUCAUUAGUCUGGGACCUAACCUGUGGCUGGAACUUAAAUCUUUUCCUGUCAAAAACAGUUGAGGAUGUGAUCACUACACUUUCUCCUGAAAACCUGUACGCAUGCAAGGAAGGAAAAUUCCAUUUUCUUAGAGUGUAGGAAGUCUGUUUCAGUAUUCUGGCUGCUUCCAUACUAAGCAACCACUCCUGAAGCAAACUUCUGGGGAACUGAAGAUGUUUUGCUGUUCAUGCUUCCCGUCUCCUUUCUAUUUCAGAGAAUUUCUCAACAAAUUCAAUUUUUUUUUGUUUUGUAUUAACAAUACUGCUUUUUUGUUUGUUUGUUUUUUAAAUCAGAGCCUUCUUAAUGACAUCUGAACUCACUACAGCUAAUUAUAUUUUAGUGAAGGUGAGGAAAUGAUGAAAAUCUUCUGGCUUUAUCUUGAGAUUAUUGUCCUGAUCGUUAAGAGCUGCAGUCUAUUUUAAGUCUGGUGAAAGUGCCUGUAUUUUGUAUUAGAAGAGACAGUGAAUAGUCAACUCCUAUUCAUCUUCUGUGGCACAGAACCACUUUCCUAACACAUUUAGUAUUUCAAGCAAAUGAUAGUGAAUUUUUCCUUUUACUUGGGUGAUGUAAUCUUCCCUGGUUUUACUACUUUUUUCCCAGCUUCUCAUCAUCAGCUGUGAAGUACACGUGAAACAGAACACACAGAACCAAACAAGAGAAGCCAAUACAAUGGAGUUGUUAUCAACAAUUAAAACCAUACUAACAAAUAAAUAAAUAUUUUCUCCAGAGUGAAAUACUCCAUGUGUGAAGAAGGGCAGAAAUCACCAGGGAAGGAUUUCCUUUAUGCACCUUUGUUCCAGUCUGUGCACAGCAGACUUUGUACUGGGUGACAAGAAGGGUGACUACUGGGUAGAUAGUCAUAUACUCUGAAAUCUCAGUCGUCUGUGAUCAGUACAACAUGCAACCUAGUGAUAGUAUCAAAACUGGGCUCCAUAUAAUGCUGGAAAUGGGCAUACCAGAAGCAUGUUUAUUCUUACAUCCCGAAGUUACAAAACACAGGCUCAAUAUGUUCUUCAAAUUCUUAUCUAUUAAUGUGCUUUCAGCUGUGAAAGACAGGUCACAGGUAUAGUUGAGUUGUUUUUCUUAGGGUUUUCUGAACAAAGAUAUGCAAGAGGUGCAGAAAAGCAGAACAUAUGGGAAUUGAGAUCUCUGUAGCCAGAGUAUGCCAAAAGGGACACCUAGACUGACAAUGAGAAGGAAGUGCUGUGGCUGAAUAUGGUUAUAGAAGUGCAAUAUUAGAAAAAGAACAGCAAGAACUUGAAGCAACAGUGUGAAACCCCUUAGAACUACACGGAAGGCUCAAACCCUGCAGGUGACCCAUAAAGUGGAUUAUACAGUCUUCUUCAGCUCAAUGAGCUGUCUUAAAAAAUAUUAUACCACUAACUUUCUAAAGGUGACCAGUAACUUUCUAAAGUGAUUUGAGUUCCUCAGGGCUGUUCAAACCUAGUUCAGAAAUGCAUAAGCAGAAAAAUAACAGAAGAAAAUCAUCAGUGCAUGCUUGUUUUGCUAUGCUAUCUUAUAUGCUGUUUGUUUAGCUCAGUAUCCAUCAGCUGCUGCCAAAAAAAGGCAACUCUAGUGAAGAGCAAGAGCAGAACAAAUAUGAUACUUCCCUCAAACUUCCACUUGCAGCCACUGUUGGAGACAGGAAUGAGGACUUGUGGCCCCUUCUGAUACAUGGGCACACCUCACAUUCUUAAAAGAAAGCUGAAGUGAGGUAGUACAAUUAUGGCUAAACAAUACUAAUGGAAUAAUCGAACUGUCAACAUGGAAAAUCAAGAUGAUUAAAAAAUUGCCAGUUGUAUAGACUCACCAUGGUCCACGGUGGUUGCCCCAUCCAUAGGGGCACCCCAGGCCAGGUUGGACAGCCCCUGAGCAGCCUAAUCUGGUGGGUGGCUGCCCUGUUCACAGCAGGGGUUGGAACUAGGUGAUCUUUAAGGUCCCUUCCAAUCUACAUCAUUCAAAGAUAAGAUUAGAUAAUAAUAGUAUUUUGAAGGAAUCUGCAGAUGUCAUACCCAAAACACAGCACUCAUCAGGAAGAAUGACAGUAACUGCAUCUCAGGAGUCUCUGCUAGCAUGAGCAUAAUGAGGUAGAAAGAUAAUUGACAGUGCCAGCAUCAGAGAACAGUUUGACAGGGAGCAAGUAAGCUGCAUAGGAUGAUAUGUUCCCAAGUCUGGAAACAAAUGGUGGGAGAAGAGAUCCUUAUGUGGGGGAUAGCAGCAAAUAGUACUUUGGAGUAAUGUCUGGUCACAUGGAAUAGAAAGGCUAGAGAACAUUGGAACUCCAGCCCUGGCCACUGAUUUGGGAUAUCUGGUCUGGAAAAUUAUUUGAGAGAACAGAUUGAUGAACUAUUGCAUCCAUUCCUCCCCUGCAGACCCAUGUUGUCUCCAAGGAGAAAUGUGAAGCUCUCUGCUUCCCAUCUUCAGAACUGAGAUUUGAGAGGGGAAAUUUUCUUAAAUGUACUGUCUAUUGCCACCCUGGUAAGUGCUAUUAAGGAUCGUGGCUUGGGACAAAGGAGGCAUUCAGAGGCUCUUCUUCCUCUAACCUGAACAUUCUGAAUAAAAUAAAGACAUGCCCAUAAUGGUCUAGUAAUUUCUGUAUCCUUUUUGUGCAGGUUACUUCAGCAGCUUUCUGAAAUGAGCUGAAAGAUGCUUAGGAGCUUGUGAGUAGAUUUCAGGGAUUCUUCGAGGAGCAAUUUAGACCAAUUUUUUUCCAUCUUUUCUGAAGCCACGAGAUAGAAUUCUGUCCCCAGUCAUUAAGCAAAUUAUUCUGUUAAAAUCUCUGAUUUACAGAAAUAGAUUUUAUUUAAAAUGCUCUUGGCAAAAAGAGGAGGGUUGAUUAAAUCCCAAACAUAAAUUAAAUUCACUUGUUUCAUUUUAUUUUUUUAUUUUUACUUUUUGCUAUAAAUAACAAAUGGCUUUAGGUCAUUUAAAUAACAGAUGGAUUAUUUAAAUAGCAGAUUACAUCUUAGCAUUCAAAUAGUGUUUGACUUCAGUCAUCUACUGAGUGUGCAAGCUGCUAAUGUUCUCUUGUACAUAGAGAUUUAUUGUUUUGAAUGACAAAAUAAAGUUGUUGGAAAGACUAA
Long non-coding RNA from Gallus gallus (chicken), 4577 nucleotides. RefSeq lists it as uncharacterized. The transcript is spliced from 3 exons. Lineage: Eukaryota; Metazoa; Chordata; Aves; Galliformes; Phasianidae. The record is from RefSeq and is a predicted model, not a curated record.